This 280-nucleotide long non-coding RNA is filed under the name Volvox carteri. Its description in RNAcentral is "long non-coding RNA (VCAR_LNC001108)". Lineage: Eukaryota; Viridiplantae; Chlorophyta; Chlorophyceae; Chlamydomonadales; Volvocaceae. The record is from RNAcentral.
GGUGAAAAGUGGCAUUGUGUCAGGCAGGCGUAAUGGUGCUUCGCGGUCAUCUGUCGUGACGCCCUGUCAUCGGCUCCCCCGGCCGGCAGUUAAGUCCCUAAAGCUCGCCAAGCUGUGACCCAUUGGUCAACAUCGAGUAUCCUGUAGCCUUUUAUUCCCAGUGCCAUACUUGGUAAUUUCUUGAAGUUCACACCUUUCGGUAAGGCAUCUAGGCCAAGCGACUGUCAAAAUAGGCAUCCGACUGUCAUCACUAUUAUCUCCCUGUGCUGCCAAGAUUCUC